Molecule: ribosomal RNA, 1257 nt
Filed under: Bacillus sp. DS1.pah.2
Lineage: Bacteria; Bacillati; Bacillota; Bacilli; Caryophanales; Bacillaceae
Description: bacterial SSU rRNA
Rfam family: Bacterial small subunit ribosomal RNA
Source: RNAcentral
AGCGGACGAAGGGAGCUUGCUCCCGGAUGUUAGCGGCGGACGGGUGAGUAACACGUGGGUAACCUGCCUGUAAGACUGGGAUAACUCCGGGAAACCGGAGCUAAUACCGGAUAGUUCCUUGAACCGCAUGGUUCAAGGAUGAAAGACGGUUUCGGCUGUCACUUACAGAUGGACCCGCGGCGCAUUAGCUAGUUGGUGAGGUAACGGCUCACCAAGGCGACGAUGCGUAGCCGACCUGAGAGGGUGAUCGGCCACACUGGGACUGAGACACGGCCCAGACUCCUACGGGAGGCAGCAGUAGGGAAUCUUCCGCAAUGGACGAAAGUCUGACGGAGCAACGCCGCGUGAGUGAUGAAGGUUUUCGGAUCGUAAAGCUCUGUUGUUAGGGAAGAACAAGUGCAAGAGUAACUGCUUGCACCUUGACGGUACCUAACCAGAAAGCCACGGCUAACUACGUGCCAGCAGCCGCGGUAAUACGUAGGUGGCAAGCGUUGUCCGGAAUUAUUGGGCGUAAAGGGCUCGCAGGCGGUUUCUUAAGUCUGAUGUGAAAGCCCCCGGCUCAACCGGGGAGGGUCAUUGGAAACUGGGAAACUUGAGUGCAGAAGAGGAGAGUGGAAUUCCACGUGUAGCGGUGAAAUGCGUAGAGAUGUGGAGGAACACCAGUGGCGAAGGCAACUCUCUGGUCUGUAACUGACGCUGAGGAGCGAAAGCGUGGGGAGCGAACAGGAUUAGAUACCCUGGUAGUCCACGCCGUAAACGAUGAGUGCUAAGUGUUAGGGGGUUUCCGCCCCUUAGUGCUGCAGCUAACGCAUUAAGCACUCCGCCUGGGGAGUACGGUCGCAAGACUGAAACUCAAAGGAAUUGACGGGGGCCCGCACAAGCGGUGGAGCAUGUGGUUUAAUUCGAAGCAACGCGAAGAACCUUACCAGGUCUUGACAUCCUCUGACAACCCUAGAGAUAGGGCUUUCCCUUCGGGGACAGAGUGACAGGUGGUGCAUGGUUGUCGUCAGCUCGUGUCGUGAGAUGUUGGGUUAAGUCCCGCAACGAGCGCAACCCUUGAUCUUAGUUGCCAGCAUUUAGUUGGGCACUCUAAGGUGACUGCCGGUGACAAACCGGAGGAAGGUGGGGAUGACGUCAAAUCAUCAUGCCCCUUAUGACCUGGGCUACACACGUGCUACAAUGGACAGAACAAAGGGCUGCGAGACCGCAAGGUUUAGCCAAUCCCACAAAUCUGUUCUCAGUUCGGAUCGCAGUCUG